This 229-nucleotide long non-coding RNA is filed under the name Urocitellus parryii (Arctic ground squirrel). Its description in RNAcentral is "lncRNA (ENSUPAG00010015375.1)". Lineage: Eukaryota; Metazoa; Chordata; Mammalia; Rodentia; Sciuridae. The record is from RNAcentral.
GAAAGCUUGUCUGUUCACAGUUGCGCCUUACUCUGGUUUUUCUACCCAGCAGGUGUCCAACACACUUGACUGAAGGAAUGCAGAAGAAAACAGACACUUGGGGCAGAAACCUGAACCUGAACCUGUCACCUGGUACCUUCAAAAAGCAGCAUUUGCAAAACUGGAUGUUCUGCCUUUGUAAUUCUCAGCUUUUACCCAAAUACUUCAGAAAAUGAACAAAUCCCAGAAG